UACGGAGGGUGCAAGCGUUAUCCGGAUUCACUGGGUUUAAAGGGUGCGUAGGCGGAUACGUAAGUCCGUGGUGAAAUCUCUGGGCUUAACCCGGAAACUGCCAUGGAUACUAUGUGUCUUGAAUGUUGUUGAGGUGAGCGGAAUAUGUCAUGUAGCGGUGAAAUGCUUAGAUAUGACAUAGAACACCAAUUGCGAAGGCAGCUCACUAAGCAAAUAUUGACGCUGAGGCACGAAAGCGUGGGGAUCAAACAGG
This 253-nucleotide ribosomal RNA is filed under the name uncultured bacterium. RNAcentral describes it as "partial 16S ribosomal RNA". It matches the Rfam family "Bacterial small subunit ribosomal RNA", at positions 524 to 776 of the family's 1533-position model. The record is from RNAcentral.